AGGGUUUGAUUCUGGCUCAGAUUGAACGCUGGCGGCAGGCCUAACACAUGCAAGUCGAGCGGAAACGGCAAUAAAGAUUCUUCGGAUGAUUUAUUGGACGUCGAGCGGCGGACGGGUGAGUAAUGCUUAGGAAUUUGCCCAGUCGAGGGGGAUAACUAUUGGAAACGAUAGCUAAUACCGCAUACGCCCUACGGGGGAAAGAGGGGGACCUUCGGGCCUCUUGCGAUUGGAUAAGCCUAAGUGAGAUUAGCUAGUUGGUGAGGUAAUGGCUCACCAAGGCGACGAUCUCUAGCUGGUCUGAGAGGAUGAUCAGCCACACUGGAACUGAGACACGGUCCAGACUCCUACGGGAGGCAGCAGUGGGGAAUAUUGCACAAUGGGCGCAAGCCUGAUGCAGCCAUGCCGCGUGUGUGAAGAAGGCCUUCGGGUUGUAAAGCACUUUCAGUCGUGAGGAAGGGUAUAUCGUUAAUAUCGGUAUGCCUUGACGUUAGCGACAGAAGAAGCACCGGCUAACUCCGUGCCAGCAGCCGCGGUAAUACGGAGGGUGCGAGCGUUAAUCGGAAUUACUGGGCGUAAAGCGCAUGCAGGUGGUUUGUUAAGUCAGAUGUGAAAGCCCCAGGCUCAACCUGGGAAGGUCAUUUGAAACUGGCAAACUAGAGUACUGUAGAGGGGGGUAGAAUUUCAGGUGUAGCGGUGAAAUGCGUAGAGAUCUGAAGGAAUACCAGUGGCGAAGGCGGCCCCCUGGACAGAUACUGACACUCAGAUGCGAAAGCGUGGGGAGCAAACAGGAUUAGAUACCCUGGUAGUCCACGCCGUAAACGAUGUCUACUUGGAGGUUGUGGCCUUGAGCCGUGGCUUUCGGAGCUAACGCGUUAAGUAGACCGCCUGGGGAGUACGGUCGCAAGAUUAAAACUCAAUGAAUUGACGGGGGGCCCGCACAAGCGGUGGAGCAUGUGGUUUA
RNAcentral lists this ribosomal RNA (961 nucleotides) under bacterium enrichment culture. RNAcentral's name for it is "bacterial SSU rRNA". It matches the Rfam family "Bacterial small subunit ribosomal RNA", at positions 8 to 948 of the family's 1533-position model. The record is from RNAcentral.